GAGCCUAUUAGGAUUUUUAUUAGGGUUUCACGGCUUUCACCUAAUAGCCGUCAUUCACUCACUCUCUCUCUCUCCUCUCCUCUCCUCUCCGUCAUUCACCUCUUUCUCUCAUUUCCAACUCAGUCCUUCUCUCCUCUCCUCUCCUCCAUCAAUCUUAGAGAAAAAAUGGUUAAAUUGGGGGUUUUGAUUUGCUUUAUAAAUCCAAGGGUUUAUUGACGGGGGUUGUGUCGGAUCCUUCUCAAGGUCUUUCCUCAACACAACCAGAAGAGACGGGGGUUUAUUGACGGGGGUUUCAAUUUUGCGCAACAAUUUCUGGGCAGCGUGUUGUUGUGGUUCGUUGCGAAGAGAUCGCACUUUCUGGUGGUCUUUUAGGCAGAAGAUGAAGUAUCUUGGUUUUCUUCGUAAGAGGAUGAACAUCAAACCUUCUCAUGGUCCUAUUCAUUUCCGUGCUCCUUGUGAGAUCUUAUGGCGUACCGUUCGAGGGGGGUGAAGUUGGAAGUGAAGCUGCCUUGGUUGCAUUGAACGGCAGAUAACAGGACUUGGACACUUUCGAUGCCAACUCUGAGCUUAUGAUUAUAGGUGGGUUGAAGUGUGGUGUAACGCUGCUAUCAUUGGUUUGAUAAAGGUUAGACUGGCUGAACCUUUGGGUAGUAGCUUUGCAGAGUAUAGCAGCUUCGUAUUUUUAUGUUUAAGUUUGUUUUAUUUUAGUUGUAUUUGAUCUGUUAGAAUUUUUUUUUAACUUUUAUUCAAAUUAAUUUUGAUUUUUGGGUUUUUUUGGAUUGUCAAUAAUAAAAAAUGGGUAUCUGUUUGAGCCUUUGUUUGUUAAAUUAGGUUUCUUUUAAUAGAAACAUAUGACGAGAUCUUUUUUUUUAUUCGUAUUAGUUUGGCUUUCAAAUUUGGUUUCAAGUGUCAUAAAUUAUGAUAUUCGGUUUAUUUAAUUUGUGCUAACUUAUAAUUGAUCUUGUUAAA
Molecule: long non-coding RNA, 969 nt
Organism: Chenopodium quinoa (quinoa)
Lineage: Eukaryota; Viridiplantae; Streptophyta; Magnoliopsida; Caryophyllales; Amaranthaceae
Exons: 2
Source: RefSeq, a predicted model, not a curated record